UAACACAUAAUCCAGAUGGCUCCUUACGUGUUAAAAAUUGUCACCCCAAUUUCACUCCAAUUUGGAAAAAUAUUGGAGUGACGUUUGAAUAAUCUGAAAUUUUUAGAUUCCUUUUCUAACUUUUUUGGGAGGUUUUGCUUCUCUUGCACAGAUGUCGCUUGCACUUCAGUUGCGUGGUUGCCAAACGUUAUAUCGAAAUAUAUUUCAUUUCAUUAUGAAUAUAUAAAAUUAAAAAUUAUGUAAUUUAUAAACAUGAAAUAGAUAUGGAUGUUAGGUAAUACCGGAUGUUAAAUUAAUAUAUAAAUAUUUAACUUAAUACGUACAUUAUUAUUUUAUUAAUUUAUCGUCACACGUCAUUUACCAGUUGCCUAAUUACGAAAAGUUUCAUAUGAUAUUAACCUCAAAAAUGAUCUUUGAAAACAAACAACAACAAAUAACUCAAAGAAAUAACUACAUACUACAUAAUAAUAACUGAUAAUAAUGACUUUUAAUGGUAUAAAGGCUGAUGAAGUUUUAGACAACCAAUACAAGAUUCAGAACUCGGCAUCGCGAUAAACAAGUAAAAUUGUACAUUCAGGAACUCGUUUAAAUAUUAUAGGUUGAUUGAAGAAUAAUUUACAAUUGAUUAGAGCCUAUGACGAUGCGAAGAUAAUUAAUCACCUAACUUUAAGAAACCAGCCUAAAGAAGUUUACAUGCAUCUCAUCUAACCAUUAUAGAUCAGUAGUGAUUUUUCAUAAUUUGAAUGAACUCACAGAUAGCAAUGGGGCACCGCACCGAAGCAGUAUUACAAAAUGUGAAAUAAAACUGUA
This is a long non-coding RNA of Sitophilus oryzae (rice weevil), 810 nucleotides long. RefSeq lists it as uncharacterized. The record is from RefSeq and is a predicted model, not a curated record. Lineage: Eukaryota; Metazoa; Arthropoda; Insecta; Coleoptera; Curculionidae. The transcript has 4 exons.